This 468-nucleotide ribosomal RNA is filed under the name uncultured bacterium. RNAcentral's name for it is "partial 16S ribosomal RNA". It matches the Rfam family "Bacterial small subunit ribosomal RNA", at positions 28 to 507 of the family's 1533-position model. The record is from RNAcentral.
GACGAACGCUGGCGGCGUGCUUAACACAUGCCAGUCGAACGGAAAGGCCCUGCUUUUGUGGGGUGCUCGAGUGGCGAACGGGUGAGUAACACGUGAGUAACCUGCCCUUGACUUUGGGAUAACUUCAGGAAACUGGGGCUAAUACCGGAUAGGAGCUCCUGCUGCAUGGUGGGGGUUGGAAAGUUUCGGCGGUUGGGGAUGGACUCGCGGCUUAUCAGCUUGUUGGUGGGGUAGUGGCUUACCAAGGCUUUGACGGGUAGCCGGCCUGAGAGGGUGACCGGCCACAUUGGGACUGAGAUACGGCCCAGACUCCUACGGUAGGCAGCAGUGGGGAAUAUUGCACAAUGGGCGGAAGCCUGAUGCAGCAACGCCGCGUGCGUGAUGACGGCCUUCGGGUUGUAAACCGCUUUCGCCUGUGACGAAGCGUGAGUGACGGUAAUGGGUAAAGAAGCACCGGCUAACUACGUG